GAAGAAAGAACACCUUGGUUUCUACCACAUAUGGAAAUUUGUCUAAUCUGGCAGAUAUGUACAUAUAUAGAUAUUAAUGUGAGAUCAAGCAGAAAAGACAGGAAGAUCUUGUUCUAAGUUGUUGAUUCGGUUUGGGUUCUGGGACGUUCCCAUUACUGGCCACCUCUCGCUGCCCUAAUGGAGACAAGUCACUGCACAUGUGUACCGAUACAGAGGCACCAUUAUGCACCUUCCCAAGUCAGCUGAUAAAACAGGUCCUCCCCCUACCUGAAAUGUCUGCCAAAGAAGAUUGCCUUGUACUCUGGGACAACAAUGGAUAAAGAAAAUGUGCUAGUCAUAAUGAGAGAAGGCUGCUUUUCCUCAUAGGCUACAAAUAAACUAUGCAAAAUACGAAUAUUUUAUACCA
This 406-nucleotide long non-coding RNA is filed under the name Monodelphis domestica (gray short-tailed opossum). Its description in RNAcentral is "lncRNA (ENSMODG00000035102.2)". The record is from RNAcentral. Lineage: Eukaryota; Metazoa; Chordata; Mammalia; Didelphimorphia; Didelphidae.